AUUGGAUACCAAGAUGCCAAGCCUGGGAAGAAGCGGCAGCUCUGCAGCUACAUGUCCGCCCAAGACCUCAAAUUACUGAAAAGGUCUUUCAUUUUAUUUGCAGAGAAUGCAUACUCAAAGGCUUUAUAGUGGGCUAGGUGGUGGGAAUGUGGAGUUGCAAGGGUUGCACAGAAACUGUGUCAAGUAGGUCCAAUCUUUUGCAUCACUACAAGUUAAAGCAUCCACAUUUUGGACGUCGUUCUCGCUUUCCAUGUAC
Micropterus dolomieu (smallmouth bass) is the source of this 256-nucleotide long non-coding RNA. RefSeq lists it as uncharacterized. The record is from RefSeq and is a predicted model, not a curated record. Lineage: Eukaryota; Metazoa; Chordata; Actinopteri; Centrarchiformes; Centrarchidae. The transcript has 3 exons.